GGAGGAAAAGAAACCAACAGGGAUUGCCUUAGUAGCGGCGAGUGAAGCGGCAAAAGCUCAAAUUUGAAAUCUGGCACCUUCGGUGUCCGAGUUGUAAUUUGAAGAUUGUAACCUUGGGGUUGGCUCUUGUCUAUGUUUCUUGGAACAGGACGUCACAGAGGGUGAGAAUCCCGUGCGAUGAGAUGCCCAAUCCUAUGUAAGGUGCUUUCGAAGAGUCGAGUUGUUUGGGAAUGCAGCUCUAAGUGGGUGGUAAAUUCCAUCUAAAGCUAAAUAUUGGCGAGAGACCGAUAGCGAACAAGUACAGUGAUGGAAAGAUGAAAAGAACUUUGAAAAGAGAGUGAAAAAGUACGUGAAAUUGUUGAAAGGGAAGGGUUUGAGAUCAGACUCGAUAUUUUGUGAGCCUUGCCUUCGUGGCGGGGUGACCCGCAGCUUAUCGGGCCAGCAUCGGUUUGGGCGGUAGGAUAAUGGCGUAGGAAUGUGACUUUGCUUCGGUGAAGUGUUAUAGCCUGCGUUGAUGCUGCCUGCCUAGACCGAGGACUGCGAUUUUAUCAAGGAUGCUGGCAUAAUGAUCCCAAACCGCCCU
Molecule: ribosomal RNA, 583 nt
Filed under: Meyerozyma caribbica
Lineage: Eukaryota; Fungi; Ascomycota; Pichiomycetes; Serinales; Debaryomycetaceae
Description: partial large subunit ribosomal RNA
Rfam family: Eukaryotic large subunit ribosomal RNA
Source: RNAcentral